CGAGUCCUGCCGCCGUACCCGGAUGACUGGUCGACUGAGUGGAUCGGCAGGAGUGGAGGACCCAAGCAGUGCGGGCCCACCGGGAGACCGGGAGGCCCUUGGGGUGAAGCCGCGCGAGCGGCCGGGCAUCUUCGCCAGUCCGAACCCGACAGGUCAUCCUUCGCAGGCGGUUUGACGAAGGGUCG
RNAcentral lists this small RNA (185 nucleotides) under Streptomyces sp. RNAcentral's name for it is "c-di-AMP sequence". It matches the Rfam family "c-di-AMP riboswitch aptamer (ydaO/yuaA leader)". From Rfam's summary of the family: This family represents a conserved RNA structure found upstream of the ydaO and yuaA genes in Bacillus subtilis and related genes in other bacteria. The ydaO/yuaA element is thought to act as a genetic "off" switch for the ydaO and yuaA genes in its native state. Lineage: Bacteria; Bacillati; Actinomycetota; Actinomycetes; Kitasatosporales; Streptomycetaceae. The record is from RNAcentral.